UUCUUUGGGGCCUUGUAUUCUGGUCAUUCUAGUAGUAUAGGAUUUUAGCCUUGUAUUUCAGGACAUUUUGAGUAAUCCUUGUAGUAGAGACUUUUUGGUAUUUUCAUGUAUUUUGGCAUGGGGGUGAGCUAAGCUAUUAUACAGGGUAUGUGUAGCUAAGCUCUAGCUUCUCAUCUCAAGGAGGUGAACUUAGCUAUUAGAGGGGUGUGUGCAGCUAAGCUCUAGCUUCUCUAGAAAUCUUUUCAAGGAAGCUUCUCAAGGAGGUGAGCUUAGUUAUUAGAGGAAUGUGUGUAGCUAAGGUCUAACUUCUCAAGGAAGCUUCUCAAAGAAGCUACCUAAGCUAUAAA
This 347-nucleotide long non-coding RNA is filed under the name Glycine max (soybean). RNAcentral describes it as "long non-coding RNA (GMAX_LNC000035)". The record is from RNAcentral. Lineage: Eukaryota; Viridiplantae; Streptophyta; Magnoliopsida; Fabales; Fabaceae.